AUGGACGUCGCCGACAUCGCCUCCCCGUCUGGCCAGCAGGGGCAUCGGGGACACCGGACGGUGUCGUCGGAGCCGCCGAAGCGCCCCGCGGGGCGGACCAAGUUCCACGAGACGCGCCACCCGCUGUACCGCGGCGUGCGGCGCCGUGGCCGCGUCGGGCAGUGGGUGUGCGAGGUGCGCGUGCCUGGGAUCAAGGGCUCCAGGCUCUGGCUCGGCACCUUCAACACGGCCGAGAUGGCGGCGCGCGCGCACGACGCCGCUGUGCUCGCGCUCAUCGGCCGCGCCGCCUGCCUCAACUUCGCCGACUCCGCAUGGCGCAUGCUGCCCGUGCUCGCGGCCGGGUCGUUCGGUUUCGGCAGCGCGAGCGAGAUCAAGGCCGCCGUCGCCGUGGCCGUCGUCGCGUUCCAGCGGAAGCAGAUUAUUCCGGUCGCCGUCGCCGUCGUGGCGCUCCAGCAGCAGCAGGUUCCGGUCGCCGUCGCCGUCGUGGCGCUCCAGCAGAAGCAGGUUCCGGUCGCCGUGGCCGUCGUGGCGCUCCAGCAGCUGCAGGUUCCGGUCGCCGUGGCCGUCGUGGCGCUCCAGCAGCAGCAGAUUAUUCUUCCAGUCGCGUGCCUGGCGCCGGAGUUUUACAUGUCUUCCGGCGACCUGUUGGAGCUUGACGAGGAGCAGUGGUUUGGCGGCAUGGACGCUGGGUCGUACUACGCGAGCUUGGCGCAGGGGAUGCUCGUGGCGCCGCCGGACGAAAGAGCGAGGCCGGAGCACGGCGAGCAGAGCGGCGUCCAGACGCCGCUAUGGAGCUGCUUGCUCGACUAA
RNAcentral lists this ribosomal RNA (810 nucleotides) under Triticum aestivum (bread wheat). RNAcentral's name for it is "partial small subunit ribosomal RNA". The record is from RNAcentral. Lineage: Eukaryota; Viridiplantae; Streptophyta; Magnoliopsida; Poales; Poaceae.